Molecule: ribosomal RNA, 481 nt
Filed under: uncultured bacterium
Lineage: Bacteria
Description: bacterial SSU rRNA
Rfam family: Bacterial small subunit ribosomal RNA
Source: RNAcentral
UGCAGCCGCCGCGGUAACACAGAGGAGCAUGCUCCUUGGGUGACGAGCGGCGGACGGGUGAGUAAUGCCUGGGGAUCUGCCCGAUAGAGGGGGAUAACUACGGGAAACUGUAGCUAAUACCGCAUAAUGUCUACGGACCAAAGUGGGGGCUCUUCGGACCUCAUGCUAUCGGAUGAACCCAGGUGGGAUUAGCUAGUUGGUGAGGUAAUGGCUCACCAAGGCGACGAUCUCUAACUGGUUUGAGAGAAUGACCAGUCACACUGGAACUGAGACACGGUCCAGACUCCUACGGGAGGCAGCAGUGGGGAAUAUUGCACAAUGGGCGCAAGCCUGAUGCAGCCAUGCCGCGUGUGUGAAGAAGGCCUUCGGGUUGUAAAGCACUUUCAGCGGGGAGGAAGGGUCACUAGUUAAUACCUAGUGGCAUUGACGUUACUCGCAGAAGAAGCACCGGCUAACUCCGUGCCAGCCGCCGCCGUAACAC